AUACGUUCGCAUUCAUACUUUGUCACCCAACCAGUUGGAACGGUUUUGCUUUGCAGGCUCUACCUAUACAUAAAAAUUUUGUGGGGUAAUGGGACACAACUUUAGUAUUUUUUACUGGUCUAGAUGAAUACUUUGGGGGUACUUGUCCUCCUCGCUGCUGUCGUCCUUAUCGUGCAAUCCCGUGCCUCCGCCCUGGUUGAAAAUGAGGACGGCUUGAGUAGUACUAGAGAGAAGCGAUGCAUUGGGAGUGGAGCCUGUUCCUGUUCAAGUGCCAUGAACCCCUUUGCUGCCGGAGAGUGUUGCAAAGGAUCCUGUUCUCCUGGAAGAAAUACAUUUAACACUCUAAUCCUUUGCUACUGCAAAGACUACUAAUGAGAUAAAUAGGUGCAACAUUCGAAAGAUGAGGAUUACUAAGAUUUGACGGUUAAAUUAAACAAUUAUUUUCGAAUAUUCAACAACUUGGAAAACUAAUUCUAAGCAAAAUUUUAGUCCAAAUAAUUUUUAAAAUUAUAAAGAUUUCACGAUUAAAUUAAAAUAAAUUGGCGAAUUAAUAUUUUAA
Molecule: long non-coding RNA, 559 nt
Organism: Folsomia candida
Lineage: Eukaryota; Metazoa; Arthropoda; Collembola; Entomobryomorpha; Isotomidae
Exons: 3
Source: RefSeq, a predicted model, not a curated record